Molecule: ribosomal RNA, 791 nt
Filed under: Staphylococcus gallinarum
Lineage: Bacteria; Bacillati; Bacillota; Bacilli; Caryophanales; Staphylococcaceae
Description: bacterial SSU rRNA
Rfam family: Bacterial small subunit ribosomal RNA
Source: RNAcentral
AGCUAUAAUGCAGUCGAGCGAACAGAUAAGGAGCUUGCUCCUUUGACGUUAGCGGCGGACGGGUGAGUAACACGUGGGUAACCUACCUAUAAGACUGGAAUAACUCCGGGAAACCGGGGCUAAUGCCGGAUAACAUAUAGAACCGCAUGGUUCUAUAGUGAAAGAUGGUUUUGCUAUCACUUAUAGAUGGACCCGCGCCGUAUUAGCUAGUUGGUAAGGUAAUGGCUUACCAAGGCGACGAUACGUAGCCGACCUGAGAGGGUGAUCGGCCACACUGGAACUGAGACACGGUCCAGACUCCUACGGGAGGCAGCAGUAGGGAAUCUUCCGCAAUGGGCGAAAGCCUGACGGAGCAACGCCGCGUGAGUGAUGAAGGGUUUCGGCUCGUAAAACUCUGUUAUUAGGGAAGAACAUAUGUGUAAGUAACUGUGCACAUCUUGACGGUACCUAAUCAGAAAGCCACGGCUAACUACGUGCCAGCAGCCGCGGUAAUACGUAGGUGGCAAGCGUUAUCCGGAAUUAUUGGGCGUAAAGCGCGCGUAGGCGGUUUCUUAAGUCUGAUGUGAAAGCCCACGGCUCAACCGUGGAGGGUCAUUGGAAACUGGGAAACUUGAGUGCAGAAGAGGAAAGUGGAAUUCCAUGUGUAGCGGUGAAAUGCGCAGAGAUAUGGAGGAACACCAGUGGCGAAGGCGACUUUCUGGUCUGUAACUGACGCUGAUGUGCGAAAGCGUGGGGAUCAAACAGGAUUAGAUACCCUGGUAGUCCACGCCGUAAACGAUGAGUGCUAAGUG